Molecule: ribosomal RNA, 482 nt
Filed under: uncultured bacterium
Lineage: Bacteria
Description: bacterial SSU rRNA
Rfam family: Bacterial small subunit ribosomal RNA
Source: RNAcentral
UUGAACGCUGGCGGCAGGCUUAACACAUGCAAGUCGAGCGGCAGCGCGGGGGCAACCCUGGCGGCGAGCGGCGAACGGGUGAGUAGUACAUGGGAAUCUGCCCUGUAGUGGGGGAUAACUCAGGGAAACUUGAGGUAAUACCGCAUACGUCCUACGGGAGAAAGCGGGGGAUCUUCGGACCUCGCGCUAGAGGAGGAGCCCAUGUCCGAUUAGCUAGUUGGUAGGGUAAAGGCCUACCAAGGCGACGAUCGGUAACUGGUCUGAGAGGAUGGUCAGUCACACUGGAACUGAGACACGGUCCAGACUCCUACGGGAGGCAGCAGUGGGGAAUAUUGGACAAUGGGGGCAACCCUGAUCCAGCCAUGCCGCGUGUGUGAAGAAGGCCUUCGGGUUGUAAAGCACUUUAAGUGGGGAGGAAGGCUCGGAGGUUAAUAACCUUCGGGAGUGACGUUACCCACAGAAUAAGCACCGGCAAACUCCGU